Papaver somniferum (opium poppy) is the source of this 584-nucleotide long non-coding RNA. RefSeq lists it as uncharacterized. The transcript has 6 exons. Lineage: Eukaryota; Viridiplantae; Streptophyta; Magnoliopsida; Ranunculales; Papaveraceae. The record is from RefSeq and is a predicted model, not a curated record.
GCCGUUGAAUUUAUGUAUAAAAGACCUAACUUAACCUAACCUAAUCGCAAUCUCCUUCUCUUCUCUUCUGCGGCCUCUCCCUCUUCUGAGUCUUCUCUCCUUCUCAGACAGACUCAUCUCCAUCCAAGUCUCCAACUCCAUUCUUUUUUCUUCUCUCAGUCUCAGAUUCUCUUUGUGGAUCAUCGGCAUCACCAGAAGCAAACCAAUAACGGAAGAUUGAAGAACAGAACCCAGCUAUCUUCUUUUACCCAGUUGGUAAAUAAAUCAUUCUUUACCUCUCAAACUGCAUCCACAUUACAGUCAUUGCCAGAAUCUUCUCCUACUUACAGGGUUUGUCAAGAUUGAAGAACUGAAGUUCAGUUCAUUGGAGCUUGAAGAAGAACUGGUCAGAGACUCAGAGUUGGUUUAAGAAGAACUAAGAAGGGUUUGUCAAGAUUGAAGAACUGAAGUUCAGUUCAUUAGAGUUUGAAAAGAACUAAUCAGAGUUGGUUUAGGAAAACUAAGAAGGUGUCGGUGGGGUAGUGACUUAUGUAACAAAUUCAACUAAUCAGAGUUGGUUUAGGAAAACUAAGAAGGUAUAUCCA